Molecule: ribosomal RNA, 374 nt
Filed under: uncultured organism
Description: partial 16S ribosomal RNA
Rfam family: Bacterial small subunit ribosomal RNA
Source: RNAcentral
GUAGGGGGCGAGCGUUAUCCGGAUUUACUGGGCGUAAAGCGCGUGCAGGCGGCUUGGUAGGUUGGACGUGAAAGCUCUUGGCUCAACUGAGAGAGGUCGUUCAAUACCGCCAAGCUUGAGGACGGAAGAGGGGAGCGGAAUUCCCGGUGUAGUGGUGGAAUGCGUAGAUAUCGGGAGGAACACCCGUGGCGAAGGCGGCUCCCUGGUCCGCACCUGACGCUGAGACGCGAAAGCGUGGGUAGCAAACGGGAUUAGAUACCCCGGGUAGUCCACGCCGUAAACGAUGGAUGCUAGGUGUAGGUGGUAUUGACCCCCCAUCUGUGCCGUAGCUAACGCGUUAAGCAUCCCGCCUGGGGACUACGGCCGCAAGGUUA